RNAcentral lists this ribosomal RNA (899 nucleotides) under uncultured bacterium. RNAcentral's name for it is "bacterial SSU rRNA". It matches the Rfam family "Bacterial small subunit ribosomal RNA", at positions 61 to 983 of the family's 1533-position model. The record is from RNAcentral.
GUCGACGAGAGAAUGCUAGCUUGCUAUAAUUCUCUAGUGGCGCACGGGUGAGUAACACGUGAGUAACCUGCCCCCGAGAGCGGGAUAGCCCUGGGAAACUGGGAUUAAUACCGCAUAGUAUCGAAAGAUUAAAGCAGCAAUGCGCUUGGGGAUGGGCUCGCGGCCUAUUAGUUAGUUGGUGAGGUAACGGCUCACCAAGGCGAUGACGGGUAGCCGGUCUGAGAGGAUGUCCGGCCACACUGGAACUGAGACACGGUCCAGACACCUACGGGUGGCAGCAGUCGAGAAUCAUACACAAUGGGGGAAACCCUGAUGGUGCGACGCCGCGUGGGGGAAUGAAGGUCUUCGGAUUGUAAACCCCUGUCAUGUGGGAGCAAAUUAAAAAGAUAGUACCACAAGAGGAAGAGACGGCUAACUCUGUGCCAGCAGCCGCGGUAAUACAGAGGUCUCAAGCGUUGUUCGGAAUCACUGGGCGUAAAGCGUGCGUAGGCUGUUUCGUAAGUCGUGUGUGAAAGGCGCGGGCUCAACCCGCGGACGGCACAUGAUACUGCGAGACUAGAGUAAUGGAGGGGGAACCGGAAUUCUCGGUGUAGCAGUGAAAUGCGUAGAUAUCGAGAGGAACACUCGUGGCGAAGGCGGGUUCCUGGACAUUAACUGACGCUGAGGCACGAAGGCCAGGGGAGCGAAAGGGAUUAGAUACCCCUGUAGUCCUGGCAGUAAACGGUGCACGCUUGGUGUGCGGGGAAUCGACCCCCUGCGUGCCGGAGCUAACGCGUUAAGCGUGCCGCCUGGGGAGUACGGUCGCAAGAUUAAAACUCAAAGAAAUUGACGGGGACCCGCACAAGCGGUGGAGUAUGUGGCUUAAUUCGAUGNCACGCGAAAGACCUUACCUGNGCUUG